Molecule: non-coding RNA, 4807 nt
Organism: Pelobates cultripes (western spadefoot toad)
Lineage: Eukaryota; Metazoa; Chordata; Amphibia; Anura; Pelobatidae
Source: the annotation of a GenBank genome assembly
GGAUCAUACCACAUAUGCCCUUGUCAUAGAGCAGUUAGCCUACCCUAUCAUCUGUGAGUAUAUUUUAUUAUACUUUUUAUGCUAGCAAUAUUUUACUGAGAGCACUAUUGCUGUUUUAUUAUCUUCCCUCUGAGCUCCUGUGACCAUCUCCAAGAUCACUCCUCAUAUAUCCCAGAAGCGGGGAUCAUACCGCUGCAAGCCUACCAUACUAGAGCUGGUAUAAGCUCUAUUAAAUGUGAGUGUAUCUACUAUUUUUUAUUACCUUUUAUCCACUGUGGAACAAACUGCACCAUUAUUGUUUCCAUUUUUAUUUCCCCCUUGGCUGUCUGUCACUGCAGGAUCGCUUGCAUUCGGUUCUACACCACUUAGAAGGGCACUGUUUGGUGGGAUUGUUUCCACGAACAAGGUGAACAAGCUCCAGGGUAAGAACAUUGGCUAUGUUCGGUAGUUUGUUUGGCUUUUAAACUACCGAACUAGAUUGACCGCAAGCCCUGAUUCUCUGGAACUGUUUUGGACAUGGGACCAUGAGUGCGGUCGGUCAAAUUAUGACUUCCAGAAAAUUCCUUAACCAAUCUGGGUGAUUUUUGGAUAUGUUGGUCACCCAGAUCGGGGCUAUCAGGGGAUGUAACUUUUGUGGGGGUUUGUGUGUCUAAAGGCAUUUUAAGGGUUUUUAAAAUAUGUAUGUUUUCUGUACCUGGAGAUAUUUGAGUUUAGUACAGUCCCUGACUCAAUUAUCUCCCAGGCACAGAGGAGGGAUUAUCUUGUUUUAUGUGGGAGUAUCCUGGACCUGAGAGCCAAUGUAAUUGUGUUUUUUACUGUAGUCUACUCUCAGGUCCAGGGGGGAGUGCCCUUUGCAUGGGGAACUGCAUAUAAGGUCAGUUGUGGCUACCAAUAAACGAGUUCCAGUUUACCCUCAACACAGAACCUCAUCUCGUGAUUGUAGAGGAAGGCUAUACCAGCUAUAAUCCCUGCUCCUGGGAUUGUUCUUUGGAUUGCUAUAAUCACUAGCUCUGCGAUACCUGCUAUACUCUCUUGGAGUAGAGGUCUUCUCACUGGGAGCUUGAUCCAGGAGUUUUGUCCAGCUGCAGCGGCUAAGGGGCUACAGUGCUUAUGGUGUCUGGUGCGGUGCUUAUGGUACUCGGUGACAGAUAGAAAGCAUUGAUUGGCAGAGGCACCCAAUCAGAGUGUCAGGCGGUCCGUCACAGGUAUUAUCUUCCUUCAGCCACUCAGAAACCACUUUAGAAUAUACCGAGACCCAUUUACCCCCAGGAACUGGACGAGACACAGCUCUGGAGGUACAACACCAUUUUAUUGGCCACACACGGCUGUUAUGCAUAACCCCAUGCAAGGGGUUUACCACACAACCAUACAGAGUCCCAUCCCAGGAUACUCCCCCUCCCCGGGGCCCUAGCACGAUUUCAAGAUCAGAGACAACAUGGGUUUACUUCAGGGAGAUCAUGCCCAACUAAUCUUAUUGAUUUUUUUGAUUGGGUAACUAAAAUAAUAGAUCAGGGUGGCGCAGGAGACAUUGCUUACCUAGAUUUCAGUAAGGCUUUUGACACUGUUGCACAUAGAAGGCUUAUCAAUAAACUGCAGCCUUUAAGUUUGGAUUCCAAUAUUGUGACAGGCAACAGAGGAUUGUAGUCAAUGGAUUAUAUUCAAAGCGUGGGCUUGUGGGGUACCUCAGGGAUAUGUACUUGGACCCAUUCUCUUUAAUAUUUUUAUUAGUGAUAUUGCAGAAGGUCUUGAUGUAAGGUAUGUCUUUUUGCCGCAGAUAUGUAACAGGGUUGAUGUUCCAGGAGGGAUAAGCAAAAUGGCAAAUGAUUUAGGUAACGUAGAAAAAUGGUCAGAGUUAAGGCAGCUGACAUUUAAUGUGGAUAAGUGCAAGAUAAUGCAUCUUGGACGUAAAAACCCAAGGGCAGAGUACAGAAUAUUUGAUAGAGUCCUAACCUCAACAUCUGAGGAAAGGGAUUUAGGGGUGAUUAUUUCUGAUGACUUAAAAGUAGGCAGACAAUGGAAUAGAGCAGCAGGAAAUGCUAGCAGAAUGCUUGGUUGUAUAGAGAGAGGUAUUAGCAGUAGAAAGAGGGAAGUGCUCAUGCCAUUUGUAACGGAUCACCUUCCAUUAAUGGACGCUUCCUAGCUUGCGCCGAGGACCACAAGCACCGCACUGGACACCACAAUAACCGCAGACUCCACAACUGCCGUAGCUUAACUGGAGCCUCGCCAUCUAAAGUCCACCCUGGAUCAGCUUCUGUCCUCCAGGACCGUGUGGGAAAGACAUAUAUUGCACUAUUGGAUCCUUUCUCUCCACAUAUAUCUGUAUCCUGCUCAAGACUGACAAGACGUGCCCUGCUGUAUAUAUCCUGAGACGGGGAUUGUUCCAUCUAUGCCAAAAAACAGCUGAGCUCUUAGUUAGCUCUGGGAAAUGUGAGUGUGACCAUAUUUGAUGCACUCAUAUAUCAGAUAAUUAUACUUGCGAUAUUGCACUAUUAUCUUCAUGUUCUUUUAUUUUUGAAGUCAAUUGCAUAUAGAUCACUGUAUACUUGUGUUCGUAUACAUAUUUAUUGUCUACGGCGCGGUUUCCUAUUUCCCCCUGUCUGCACAUAUAACAACCAGGUACCUCCUCAAGUCAUAUUCCCGGAUAGCCUGGACCUGAGCGCCCAAUAUAUUAAUAAACGCUCAGAUCCCAUGAACACAGCCGAAUCGCCACCGGGGUAAAGUUUUGACUGACCGCACACGAGGCGUCUGUCCAAAAUAGUUCCAGGAGAAAAGAGGUGGUGGUCGGUCUCUUUCGGGAGUUCGAAAACGUAUAAAAAACUGAACAUAUGCCAUAGCUGGUAUAUAGAUAGUGUUCACCUAAUCCAUGCGAAUGAUUCCACUGAACUGUUCUCUUCUAAGAUGUAAAGAAACACAGACAAGGAUGGAAGUUAAGCGGUGUUCUCGGGGUCGAGUUUCCUAUUUUAGUUCCAUGCACUCGACGACCAAACACCGCCACUGUUAUACGGAGUAAUAGCAGUGUUAUGAGGAACACAUUAUAUAGAGUAAUAGCAGUGUUAUAUGGAGCAUGUUAUAUUGAGUAAUUGGAGUGUUAAACAGAGCACAUUAUAUGGAGUAAUAGGAGUGUUGUUAUACGGAGUAAUAGCAGUGUUAUACGGAGCACAUUAUAUGGAGUAAUGGCAGUGUUAUACGGAGCACAUUAUAUGGAGUAAUAGGAGUGUUACACGGAGCACAUUAUAUGGAGUAAUAGGAGUGUUACACGGAGCACAUUAUAUGGAGUAAUAGGAGUGUUACACGGAGCACAUUAUAUGGAGUAAUAGGAGUGUUAUACGGAGCACAUUAUAUGGAGUAAUAGGAGUGUUAUACAGAGCACAUUAUAUGGAGUAAUAGGAGUGUUAUACGGAGCACAUUAUAUGGAGUAAUAGGAGUGUUACACGGAGCACAUUAUAUGGAGUAAUAGGAGUGUUACACGGAGCACAUUAUAUGGAGUAAUAGGAGUGUUAUACGGAGCACAUUAUAUGGAAUAAUAGGAGUGUUAUACGGAGCACAUUAUAUGGAGUAAUAGGAGUGUUAUACGGAGUAAUAGCAGUGUUAUACGGAGCACAUUAUAUGGAGUAAUGGCAGUGUUAUACGGAGCACAUUAUAUGGAGUAAUAGGAGUGUUGUUAUACGGAGUAAUAGCAGUGUUAUACGGAGCACAUUAUAUGGAGUAAUAGGAGUGUUAUACGGAGCACAUUAUAUGGAGUAAUAGGAGUGUUAUACGGACGGAGCACAUUAUAUGGAGUAAUAGGAGUGUUAUACGGAGCACAUUAUAUGGAGUAAUAGGAGUGUUAUACGGAGCACAUUAUAUGGAGUAAUAGGAGUGUUAUACGGAGUAAUAGCAGUGUUAUACGGAGCACAUUAUAUGGAGUAAUGGCAGUGUUAUACGGAGCACAUUAUAUGGAGUAAUAGGAGUGUUGUUAUACGGAGUAAUAGCAGUGUUAAACGGAGCACAUUAUAUGGAGUAAUAGGAGUGUUAUACGGAGCACAUUAUAUGGAGUAAUAGGAGUGUUACACGGAGCACAUUAUAUGGAGUAAUAGCAGUGUUAUACGGAGCACAUUAUAUGGAGUAAUAGGAGUGUUAUACGGAGCACAUUAUAUGGAGUAAUAGGAGUGUUAUACGGAGCACAUUAUAUGGAGUAAUAGGAGUGUUAUACGGAGCACAUUAUAUGGGGUAAUAGGAGUGUUAUACGGAGCACAUUAUAUGGAGUAAUAGCAGUGUUAUACGGAGCACAUUAUAUGGAGUAAUAGGAUGUAUUGUAUCAAUUGCAUUUUAAUAUUGUGGUCUCUGAGGAAGUCCCUAUGUUGUUAAAGGGACGAAACGCGUAGGACCUUAUUUAUAUUCAUUUUAUUUUUAUUUUUUUAAUAUUGAAUUAAAGCCGCUUUUUCAAAACUUCACCCGGAGUCCUGUGUUGGAGUAAAAAUAUCCAGGGGAUCUCCCAGGCCCCCCAUAUUUUCAGGGGAGUAAUAGGAGUGUUAUAUGGAGCACAUUAUAUGGAGUAAUAGGAGUGUUACACGGAGCACAUUAUAUGGAGUAAUAGGAGUGUUAUACGGAGCACAUUAUACGGAGUAAUAGGAGUGUUAUACGGAGCACAUAAUAUGGAGGAAUAGGAGUACUAUACAAUAUAUCAGUUUUUAUGCUGUAUCUGAUACGCACAUUUCUCCCUGAAUAAUCAGUAUUUGGCAGACAUGGACGGGUCAGGCAGCGGGCGGCAGGACAGAUAGAGUAAUGACUGGAAGAUGACAUGUACAUUCCUGUACUUCUCUCUACU